RNAcentral lists this ribosomal RNA (460 nucleotides) under uncultured bacterium. RNAcentral's name for it is "partial 16S ribosomal RNA". It matches the Rfam family "Bacterial small subunit ribosomal RNA", at positions 338 to 795 of the family's 1533-position model. The record is from RNAcentral.
CCUACGGGCGGCAGCAGUGAGGAAUAUUGGUCAAUGGACGAGAGGCUGAACCAGCCAAGUAGCGUGAAGGAUGACUGCCCUAUGGGUUGUAAACUUCUUUUAUAAAGGGAUAAAACGAGGCACGUGUGCCUUUUUGCAUGUACUUUAUGAAUAAGGAUCGGCUAACUCCGUGCCAGCAGCCGCGGUAAUACGGAGGAUCCGGGCGUUAUCCGGAUUUAUUGGGUUUAAAGGGAGCGUAGAUGGGUUGUUAAGUCAGUUGUGAAAGUUUGCGGCUCAACCGUAAAAUUGCAAUGGAGACUGGCAGUCUUGAGUACAGUGGAGGUAAGCGGAAUUCGUGGUGUAGCGGUGAAAUGCUUAGAUAUCACGAAGAACCCCGAUUGCGAAGGCAGCUUACUAAACUGUGACUGACAUUGAUGCUCGAAAGUGUGGGUAUCAAACAGGAUUAGAUACCCCUGUAGUC